UUUAUUGUAUUUUUCUAUGACUUAUCUCUUCAGUAUACUUUUGGGGUUGUUUUGAGGAUAAGGGAUGGAGCUCAAAAAUCAAAAACGUAUUAAAUGAAGAGCUCAUAAAGAGCUCCUAAUUAUGCGCCCUUGCGCGAUUCCCUGUUGUUAAUUUUAACGUUUGAGAGCUCACAAAUAGCUCUUAAUUUUGAGCUAUUCAUUUUUUAUUUUCGUGUAGUGGGGGGUGGGCAGCUGGACAAAGGUGAAAAACAAUUGCAUAUCAGCGCCCAGCAGGAGUAGGUGCGCGCUA
Molecule: long non-coding RNA, 289 nt
Organism: Solenopsis invicta (red fire ant)
Lineage: Eukaryota; Metazoa; Arthropoda; Insecta; Hymenoptera; Formicidae
Exons: 2
Source: RefSeq, a predicted model, not a curated record